Molecule: ribosomal RNA, 446 nt
Filed under: uncultured bacterium
Lineage: Bacteria
Description: partial 16S ribosomal RNA
Rfam family: Bacterial small subunit ribosomal RNA
Source: RNAcentral
CCUACGGGGGGCAGCAGUCGAGAAUCAUUCACAAUGGGGGAAACCCUGAUGGUGCGACGCCGCGUGGGGGAAUGAAGGUCUUCGGAUUGUAAACCCCUGUCAUGUGGGAGCAAAUUAAAAAGAUAGUACCACAUCAGGAAGAGACUGCUAACUCUGUGCCAGCAGCCGCGGUAAUACAGAGGUCUCAAGCGUUGUUCGGAAUCACUGGGCGUAACGCGUGCGUAGGCUGUUUCGUAAGUCGUGUGUGAAAGGCGCGAGCUCAACCCGCGGACGGCACAUGAUACUGCGAGACUAGAGUAAUGGAGGGGGAACCGGAAUUCUCGGUGUAGCAGUGAAAUGCGUAGAUAUCGAGAGGAACACUCGUGGCGAAGGCGGGUUCCUGGACAGUAACUGACGCUGAGGCACGAAGGCCAGGGGAGCGAAAGGGAUUAGAUACCCGGGUAGUC